UGGCUCUCGCAUCGAUGAAGAACGCAGCGAAAUGCGAUAAGUAAUGUGAAUUGCAGAAUUCAGUGAAUCAUCGAAUCUUUGAACGCAACUUGCGCCCCUUGGUAUUCCGAGGGGCAUGCCCGUUUGAGUGUCAUUGUAUUCUCAAACCCAUUUUAGAAGUGGGCUUUGGAUUUGGAGGCCUUUGCAGAUUUAAAUCUGCUCCUCUUGAAUAUAUUAGCUGGAAACCUUUGUUAGGCUGGCUUCAGUGUGAUAAUUGUCUGCACUGUGGUUGUCUAGCACUUGUAUAGGAUUUCGCUUCUAAUUGUCAUUAGACAAAUUAUGACAUCUGACCUCAAAUCGGGUAGGACUACCCGCUGA
This 357-nucleotide unclassified non-coding RNA is filed under the name uncultured fungus. RNAcentral describes it as "partial contains 5.8S ribosomal RNA and internal transcribed spacer 2". The stretch from base 1 to 133 matches the Rfam family "5.8S ribosomal RNA", at positions 22 to 154 of the family's 154-position model. The record is from RNAcentral. Lineage: Eukaryota; Fungi.